Molecule: long non-coding RNA, 2087 nt
Filed under: Schizosaccharomyces pombe (fission yeast)
Lineage: Eukaryota; Fungi; Ascomycota; Schizosaccharomycetes; Schizosaccharomycetales; Schizosaccharomycetaceae
Source: RNAcentral
AAACAUCAAUUAAAAAAUCAAGCUUUUUGGCAUAGUCCCAAAAUAACGGAUGAUUCAAAACCACUUCGAUUGUAGGACGCUUGCUUGGCUCAAAUGCAAUCAUAUCCUCAAUCAAAUCAGCGGCCAACACACCACACUCUCCUAAUGAUUGCAAAUGUACCAAACAAUAAUUUCCUUUAAGAAUGUUGCCCUCACAAUCAUAAUGGGAACCAAACGGGUGCAUCCCACCAGUUAACGUAUAAUAAAAAAUACAACCGAGGGCAAAAAUAUCAGUAGCGUGGGAAGCUUGUCGGAUUCUACCUUCACGAGUUUUCACUUGUAUUUCUUUCGAUUGUUGAGACAGGGAACCACUUAAAAUUUCCGGAGAUCUCCAACCAUAAGAACCGGCUGCCUCAAAAGUGGUAUUACGAAGACUGCUUUGAUUAAAAUCUAACUUCUUGCUCAAUCCAAAAUCGGAAAUAAGAGCCCUGACUCGAGUUUUGGAAAGAUUUGGCGAAUUAUUAACAACAAGUAAAAUAUUUUGUGGCUUUAAAUCACGAUGAACUAAAUCCAAACUAUGUAAAUGAGAAACCCCAAAAGCUAUUUGAUAUAGCAAUGAAACUAGAUCAAUCGAUUUGAAUAGGUCAUCAUAAGCAAUUGGUUUUUCGAUUAAAUCAGAUAGGUUGCAUUUACAUAAUUCGAUGACAAUGUAAAGGAAUUGGUCACUUUUUUGUUUGCAAUAAUAACGAACGAUAUUAGGAUGAUUAUCACUCUGCUGUAAAAGUGUUAUUUCUCUUGAUGCUAAGUCAUAAAACUCCAUUAAAACUCUCUUGACAGCUACCUCCCUAUCUUCAUAAACACCACGAUAAACAAUUGUACCAUGACUACCAUAACCAAUUACUUCAGGAUAAACAGUCAAUGAGUUUACAGUCACUGAACCAUCAGUGUUUUGGAUUACAGUUGCCUCAGGAAGAUGACUUUUUAGGCUGCUAUCGAGACUUUUUUGUAAAGGAUCAGUUGAUUUGUCUUGAAUUUCAACAAUAUUUUCACUCAAGAUAUCCAAUGUUUGAUUUUGUUCAAAAGACGCCUGGCUUUCUAUCUCGUUGAAGUUAGAAGAAGCCGAAUGCUCAUCGCUAACUCUCUUUCUUCGUUUGCCUUUACGCCGGCGUUUUGAAGUAUCAAUUUUAUUAUUGAUAGAAACCGUAUUUUUCUGAGAUUUUAACGGUCUGACUUCAGAAGAGCGAAUCCUAAGAAUGGAAAAGAAGGUAACAAUUGUAAAAGACACACUUAGGAACAUUAUAACCCAAAAUGUGAUAGAAAUAGGCGUAGAGGAAAUAGGAUUUGGAUCUAGUAAAGGAAUAGGUUUUUUUCCAAUUGAAGGUAAUGUUUUUGUUGAGCCUUCAGAUUCCACGUAAGAAGGAAUAUCAUAACCAGGAAGUCCUGGCAAAGCAAAAAAAGGCUUAGGGGUUGCCAUUAGGGAAUGAAGUCCAAAAAUACUAUUCAGUGGAAUAUAAAAUCCAUUGUAAUAAAGGAAGGAAGCUUCCGGAGCAAGUGAUACCAAAGGAUAAUGACGUUCCGACAUCGCAAACCAUGCAUUACCUAUAUGAUUUAUGUAUACGUGUUCAGUUUUGUUUCUUGCAAUUUGAGGAAACAUCGUUUCUAGGUAUGUGUCAAUCGGUUGUCGAAGCAGAACAGAAGUCGGAAAUUUCGCAGGUGUUUGAGAUUUGUCUAUCUUCUUGUUGUGAGGUAAAGUUACGAUAUCAAACACUGUGGCAGCAGGAGACAUCAAAGGGAUGUUCUGUUUUAUGAACUUGGAAUGGGUAUCAACAAUGUGCAACGAACUGUCAUAUGAUGAAAGCGCAAGUUUCGAAUCAAAAGAUGAUGAAUGAAAAGAUUCAUACAUUAUUUCGUUUUUAGUUGGUGUCCAAUCGAUGUAAACCAAAUCAAGUAUGACAUUGGAAUCAGAAUAUAUUGUUAUGAAAUAUUCCGUUCUAGCAAUAUCAACAAACGAUUUAUUUGAAACAGUAACCUGGUAAUUGAAAUCAUCAAGCAAGUCCAAACUUUCAGACAAUUUUUUACCAGAAGGGUCCUUAAAUGAUAAAUCAGAG